Triticum aestivum (bread wheat) is the source of this 2079-nucleotide long non-coding RNA. RefSeq lists it as uncharacterized. The record is from RefSeq and is a predicted model, not a curated record. The transcript has 11 exons. NCBI's taxonomy places the organism in Eukaryota, Viridiplantae, Streptophyta, Magnoliopsida, Poales, Poaceae.
AGGCAGGAGGCCAGCGGCCAGGACGACGCCAUGGUAUGACCCUGCUUUGCUCCUUCCCCACCAUGACCACACCAUGGAAGCAGCAGCAAGGUUCCUUGGUGGGUACAGCAGCAGCAGAAAGAGGACACCAUGGUGGGUACAGCGGCAGAAGCAGCAGCUCGAUGGACGCAUGGACGCCACCAUGGAAGCAUGAAUGUGCUUAUUUCUCCAUCCCUUUCCACUGGCAUGGGGUGGUAGCAUUGUUUACUGGAUGAUUACCAAUGGAGUCAUUUGGGCUAAGAAAAUGUACUGUCUUUUGAUCUCUGAUGCGACCAUUUCCUGAUAUUAAUUACUUAAUUAGUGAUCACAUGGUUUCCUUGUGUCAAAUUUAUGGAAGCUGCGGGGAUGGAGGCGGCAUUCGGGUCUGGAGAUGGCAUGAGAAGCAGAGCUCUUUCUGCCACUAUCUCUACAAAGAAAGUGUAGUCUGCAAGCUUAUCAAAUCUGGGUACUGUUUGUAGAAGUGCAGCACCAUGCAUCAGUGAGCUCCCUAAUUUGGCUAGAACAGAGGGCUAUUGUUCUUACUUAUUUACUGCCUGCUGAUCUCUCUCUCACUCCCAUUUUUUUCAAUUUAAUCCCUGGAUCUCAUUUUUGUGUGUGCAAUUAUCUGUACCUACAUGGUGCUAUGAAAAUUCAAGCGGGCUGAAGUAAAGAUUACUCUAUGUAAAAUUCAUGCUUCAAUGCCUACUCGGAAAUAUAUCCGUGCUUGGUAGUUUGAGACUACUGGUGUGAAGAUCUUGCUCCAAAUUCACAUGAUCUAAUUAGUGUUCUAUACAGAGUAACACUUUUGGGCUUUGGGUUGCCGCUGGAUCCGGACAAGAUAAGGCUUGCCUUACCUGGUGAAGUACUGGCUAGGAAGAGUGCAAGCUGCCGCCCACACAUACCAGAUGGUCCCGUCAAGGACGUUGUUGUACUGACUGCCGAUGAUCUACAGGUUGCUGGACAUGUUCUCUCUGCUUGCUUCCUGUUCAUUACAUUAAAUCCUUGAAGCUUUUCCUAAAAAAAUGGAUGCACACAAAUACUUCUGCUUCAGUUUUCUAUGGCUCAAGCCAUUUUUGUCGUUGUAUGACAAGGCUGUCGAUGUCAUCACUGAGCUGCCUUCUUUGCUUCAGAGGCUUAUUGUGCUGCUAUAGUUCUUUGUCUCUUAUCCACUCACCCAUUGUAGUGCAGCAAUUGCAAGCUCCACAUUCCCAUGGCUGCUCAUCCUCCGUAACUUUCUCUAGCUGAGCUCACGCCACCACUGCGGCACAACUCUCUUGUAGCUAUCGGGUGACCGCGUGUGUCGUUGCCACCACUAGCGAGAUCUGGGAGAAAGAGGAGGCAAAGAGGGAGAUGGAGCGGCAAGAAUAAAGGUAAAGGAAGGAGGAAGAGGAGACACCCUAAGCAUGCCGGUGACCUCCAGGCCCGCUACUACGACUUCUCCAAGCAACACCAAUCUACAACAGCAAGUGUCUCGAGCAAGAUGACCAAGUGUUGGUGGGUGGGCAUCAACAAGGUGGGCUGUCAGCACGGUGUUCGAGUUGGUCAGUAGUGGUGCACCUGCGCCAUGUAUGGAUCAAUACUCUAGGAGGUUCUGUCGAGGCCCAAUCCAUCCAGUUCAGAGCCAUUGUCAAAUUGAAUAACAACCGCCUUUUGGUCUUGGCCCAUAACCAGCCGUGAAAGACGAGAUGUUUAUGCUGCCCUUCUACCUUCCUCCCUGUCCCUACUUUUCCCCAUCGCGUGUUGGGCCCUCUGAAGUAAAAUAAACAUGAAACUACAUGCUAAAAAGUGGGUGAUAAAUAUCUAGUUACUAAAUUCACUAAAUUUGUGAUCCCAAAACUGUGAGCAAAAUAGUGAAAUGUCAGGGUUUACUCUACUGCAAAUUUGCAAUUUACUUGAACUUUGUUGUGAUGAGCAAUUCAGUUUCUUUGGGCAAAACGCCUGGCUAAACAAAUAAAUGCAUGUGCUUUUCAUGUUUUGUUCCCAGUAAGAAGCUGAUUCUGUAUCUUAUGUACUUGUUGUGAGCUACUUUUAACUCUGAUAAAGAAUGUACAUUGGAUUGUU